RNAcentral lists this ribosomal RNA (484 nucleotides) under uncultured bacterium. RNAcentral describes it as "partial 16S ribosomal RNA". It matches the Rfam family "Bacterial small subunit ribosomal RNA", at positions 28 to 507 of the family's 1533-position model. The record is from RNAcentral.
AUUGAACGCUGGCGGCAUGCUUUACACAUGCAAGUCGAACGGCAGCGCGGGCUUCGGCCUGGCGGCGAGUGGCGAACGGGUGAGUAAUGCAUCGGAACGUGCCCAGUAGUGGGGGAUAGCCCGGCGAAAGCCGGAUUAAUACCGCAUACGACCUGAGGGUGAAAGCGGGGGACCGAAAGGCCUCGCGCUAUUGGAGCGGCCGAUGUCGGAUUAGCUAGUUGGUGGGGUAAAGGCUUACCAAGGCGACGAUCCGUAGCUGGUCUGAGAGGACGACCAGCCACACUGGGACUGAGACACGGCCCAGACUCCUACGGGAGGCAGCAGUGGGGAAUUUUGGACAAUGGGGGCAACCCUGAUCCAGCCAUGCCGCGUGCGGGAAGAAGGCCUUCGGGUUGCAAACCGCUUUUGUUCGGGAAGAAAUCCUCUGGGCUAAUACCCCGGGGGGAUGACGGUACCGGAAGAAUAAGCACCGGCUAACUACGUG